RNAcentral lists this small nucleolar RNA (110 nucleotides) under Gossypium barbadense (sea-island cotton). RNAcentral describes it as "Plant small nucleolar RNA R71". It matches the Rfam family "Plant small nucleolar RNA R71". From Rfam's summary of the family: R71 is a member of the C/D box family of snoRNAs containing the C (UGAUGA) and D (CUGA) box motifs. Multiple nearly identical copies of this snoRNA have been identified in Arabidopsis, and it is thought to function as a 2'-O-ribose methylation guide for 18S ribosomal RNA. The record is from Rfam by way of RNAcentral. RNAcentral also lists the same sequence under 2 other names. Lineage: Eukaryota; Viridiplantae; Streptophyta; Magnoliopsida; Malvales; Malvaceae.
AUACCAUGAUGAGGACAUCUCUAUACAAGCAAUUUAAAAUGUUCCCAAGCCUCGUAGAAGUUUUCUCCUUCCAUUUUUUUUUUGAAAUUGGCAAUAUCUCUUCUUAGUUG